GUCCCGAUAGUAUAAAAAUUACUUUGGUCUUGUAAACCAAGAAUGAAGGGCUACUCUUCUCAGGACA
This 67-nucleotide transfer RNA is filed under the name Rattus tiomanicus (Malayan field rat). RNAcentral's name for it is "tRNA-Thr". Lineage: Eukaryota; Metazoa; Chordata; Mammalia; Rodentia; Muridae. The record is from RNAcentral.